GGAGGUGCAGCUCAGUGGUAGAGCACUUGCCUAGCGUGCAUGAGGCCCUGGGUUCCACUCCCAGCACCGCCC
This 72-nucleotide transfer RNA is filed under the name Heterocephalus glaber (naked mole-rat). It matches the Rfam family "tRNA". From Rfam's summary of the family: Transfer RNA (tRNA) molecules are approximately 80 nucleotides in length. Their secondary structure includes four short double-helical elements and three loops (D, anti-codon, and T loops). Lineage: Eukaryota; Metazoa; Chordata; Mammalia; Rodentia; Bathyergidae. The record is from Rfam by way of RNAcentral.